UACGAAGGGGGCUAGCGUUGUUCGGAUUUACUGGGCGUAAAGCGCGUGUAGGCGGAUCGUUAAGUCGGGGGUGAAAGCCCAGAGCUCAACUCUGGAAUUGCCUUCGAUACUGGCGGUCUGGAGCAGAGAAGAGGCGAGUGGAAUUCCGAGUGUAGAGGUGAAAUUCGUAGAUAUUCGGAGGAACACCAGUGGCGAAGGUGGCUCGCGGGUCUCUUGUUGACGCUGAGACGCGAAAGCGUGGGGAGCAAACAGG
This 253-nucleotide ribosomal RNA is filed under the name uncultured bacterium. RNAcentral describes it as "partial 16S ribosomal RNA". It matches the Rfam family "Bacterial small subunit ribosomal RNA", at positions 524 to 776 of the family's 1533-position model. The record is from RNAcentral.